UACGCAGGCUGGCAAUUAAGUCAGUGGUGAAAUCCCACCGCUCAACGGUGGAACUGCCAUCGAUACUGGUUGUCUUGAGUACAGUAGAGGUAUGCGGAAUGUCACAUGUAGCGGUGAAAUGCAUAGAUAUGUCAUAGAACACCGAUUGCGAAGGCAGCAUACUGGACUGUAACUGACGCUGAGGUACGAAAGCGUGGGGAGCGAACAGGAUUAGAUACCCUGGUAGUCC
RNAcentral lists this ribosomal RNA (229 nucleotides) under uncultured bacterium. Its description in RNAcentral is "partial 16S ribosomal RNA". It matches the Rfam family "Bacterial small subunit ribosomal RNA", at positions 568 to 796 of the family's 1533-position model. The record is from RNAcentral.